This 498-nucleotide ribosomal RNA is filed under the name uncultured bacterium. RNAcentral describes it as "partial 16S ribosomal RNA". It matches the Rfam family "Bacterial small subunit ribosomal RNA", at positions 28 to 507 of the family's 1533-position model. The record is from RNAcentral.
GACGAACGCUGGCGGCGUGCCUAAUACAUGCAAGUCGAACGAGAGCGACCGGUGCUUGCACUGGUCAAUCUAGUGGCGAACGGGUGAGUAACACGUGGGUAACCUGCCCAUCAGAGGGGGAUAACAUUCGGAAACGGAUGCUAAAACCGCAUAGGUCUUCGAACCGCAUGGUUUGAAGAGGAAAAGAGGCGCAAGCUUCUGCUGAUGGAUGGACCCGCGGUGCAUUAGCUAGUUGGUGAGGUAACGGCUCACCAAGGCCGUGAUGCAUAGCCGACCUGAGAGGGUGAUCGGCCACAUUGGGACUGAGACACGGCCCAAACUCCUACGGGAGGCAGCAGUAGGGAAUCUUCCGCAAUGGACGCAAGUCUGACGGAGCAACGCCGCGUGAGUGAAGAAGGUUUUCGGAUCGUAAAACUCUGUUGUUAGAGGAGAAUAAGUGCUAGAGUAACUGUUAGCGCCUUGACGGUAUCUAACCAGAAAGCCACGGCUAACUACGUG